This is a non-coding RNA of Salmo salar (Atlantic salmon), 597 nucleotides long. The record is from RefSeq and is a predicted model, not a curated record. NCBI's taxonomy places the organism in Eukaryota, Metazoa, Chordata, Actinopteri, Salmoniformes, Salmonidae.
GGGAGGAAAGGUAUUGAGAGAGCAACAGGGAGGAAAGGUAUUGAGAGAGCAACAGGGAGGAAAGGUAUUGAGAGAGCAACAGGGAGGAAAGGUAUUGAGAGAGCAACAGGGAGGAAAGGUAUUGAGAGCAACAGGGAGGAAAGGUAUGGAGAGCAACAGGGAGGGAAGGUAUGGAGAGAGCAACAGAGAGAAGGUAUUGAGAGAGCAACAGGGAGGAAAGGUAUUGAGAGAGCAACAGGGAGGAAAGGUAUUGAGAGAGCAACAGGGAGGAAAGGUAUUGAGAGAGCAGGUAUGGAGAGAGCAACAGAGAGAGAAGGUAUUGAGAGAGCAACAGGGAGGAAAGGUAUUGAGAGAGCAACAGGGAGGAAAGGUAUUGAGAGCAACAGGGAGGGAAGGUAUUGAGAGCAACAGGGAGGAAAAGUAUGGAGAGCAACAGGGAGGAAAGGUAUGGAGAGAGCAACAAAUAAGGUAUUGAGAGAGCAACAGGGAGGGAAGGUAUGGAGAGAGCAACAGAGAGAAGGUAUUGAGAGAGCAACAGAGAGAAGGUAUUGAGAGAGCAACAGGGAGGAGGUAUUGAGAGAGCAACAGGGAGGAAAG